Molecule: transfer RNA, 74 nt
Filed under: Planctomycetaceae bacterium TMED10
Lineage: Bacteria; Pseudomonadati; Planctomycetota; Planctomycetia; Planctomycetales; Planctomycetaceae
Also listed under: 3 other names
Description: tRNA-Met
Rfam family: tRNA
About the family: Transfer RNA (tRNA) molecules are approximately 80 nucleotides in length. Their secondary structure includes four short double-helical elements and three loops (D, anti-codon, and T loops).
Source: RNAcentral
GGGCCGGUAGCUCAGUCGGUUAGAGCAAGCGACUCAUAAUCGCUGGGUCGGGGGUUCGAGUCCCUCCCGGCCUA